CUUCGGCCAUGGCCUUGACCUCAUCCACCUCGGCUCGAAGUUGGUCGAUCUGGUCAACCUUCUGCUGAACCUGCAGGUUUUGAUCGUUAGUCACCAUGUCUAACUCAUCAUCGCUAACUUCAAAGAUCUUUUCCUGUUCCACCAGGUCGGUAUGUUCCUUCUGAGAUGCAUCCAACUCAGCCCAGUGAUUCUUGACCGCUUCUUCGCAUUGCUCGCUGAGAAGCUUAUACAUGUCCCUCUUCUUAGCAAGCUCCUUGACCUCAGCCUCGAGCUGGUUAACCUCAGUUCGGUACCGGAGAAAGGCUUUAUGAUGGAGUAUCGAGGUCUGCAAAGAUAUGAAAAGGAAAGGGCAUGAGAGAUAUCAAAAACUAAAUUUGAAGACAAAAGAGUGUUAUGACACCUUACCCGGUUUAGCACCUGUUUUGCUUCGUUGAACAAGCAUGGUGCAUCCACCUCGUUAAUUUUCGCAUGAUCUUCUUCGAUUACCAGGCAAAGGAUGUAGCUAGCUACUCCGAUAGGGGCGGAAAGAACCCAGGCAUCCUUCGGGACGGUGAUGAUAACUGAUCGCUUCCGACCGGGAUCCAUGCUCGGGGCGGGGAACCAGUUGCUCAACUUUGGGAUCGAGUUCAGCUCACCGUCCUCCGAGGAUGAGCUUUUCCUCGGCACCCCUAAAUCACCCAACCCGGAGAAGUAUUCUAGAGCGAUUGAUUUCACACCAUCAAAAAAGCAACAGAGGGGAUCGUCCGCACCAUGAGCCCCUUCGUUGGAUCGAUGCUUCAUCACUCGGGCUUUAUCGAACAUGAACUCUGCAAAUGAAGGCGACCCCAAAAUUUCUAUAACACUAGGCGGGGUGGAGCCGGUAUCUGAACUAGUCCUCACUUCUGCACUAGCCUCCUGAACAAGAGUGGGAUUAUCCUCCAUUGUUUCUCCCUUGAUUGCCACUCGUCCUUCGGGGAUGGAUGACUCACAGGCCACAAAACGAUCGUCCUCCUUGGGCUCGUCCUUGAGCCGGUAAAGGAAGUUUGAGUCAGGAACUUGGGAGCUGGAACUGUCCUUUGGCUUACAGGCUAACCUUAUCUUUGGUUUCUUUUUCUCCUAGAUCGGAGAACUCGGAUCCCUCCUUCUUUUCUUCUCUCCUACUAUGGCCCCGGGCUGUCCCAAAGCAGAAGGAUCGACGGGCAGGUCUUCGCCCCCACUAAAGGCCUAAGCUCAAUGGUCUUAGGCAAGCCUGCAAAAAGAGAAGAGAAGGAAUGAGGACAUAGUGCUGAAAAAGGGAGCCCAGUGCUACUUAUUUGGGAAAAGAAAUCUUACCAUGGGAACGGGCCUCCCAGCGGCACUUCGAGAGCUCGCACCACGAGCGCUCGGCAUAAGGCAUCUGCAAACAAAUGCCUUCGAUCCACUGCUUGAGCUGAGAAAUGGCAUUUGGGACUCGAGCGAAGGUUGCACCACAACAAAUACCGAUGAGGAAAAGGGAGGUAAAAUGUAAAAUGGACAUCUAUAAGAAAAGUAAACUUACAUGAUACAUUCCACUUCUCGGGGAAUGGUCUAACUUCAGUAGGGAUCAGGUCGGCGGUCCUCACCCAGACAAAGUGUCCCUACCAACCCCGAUCCUGGUCCUCGACAAUGCUUGAAAAUGGGCUUUGUUGACCCGCCAUACGAGAUUUAUCAGUCCUCCCCCCUCCCCUCNNCCCCNCCGCCNCACGCGCUCGCACGCCGCNNNNNNNNNNNNNNNNNNNNNNNNNNNNNNNNNNNNNNNNNNNNNNNNNNNNNNNNNNNNNNNNNNNNNNNNNNNNNNNNNNNNNNNNNNNNNNNNNNNNNNNNNNNNNNNNNNNNNNNNNNNNNNNNNNNNNNNNNNNNNNNNNNNNNNNNNNNNNNNNNNNNNNNNNNNNNNNNNNNNNNNNNNNNNNNNNNNNNNNNNNNNNNNNNNNNNNNNNNNNNNNNNNNNNNNNNNNNNNNNNNNNNNNNNNNNNNNNNNNNNNNNNNNNNNNNNNNNNNNNNNNNNNNNNNNNNNNNNNNNNNNNNNNNNNNNNNNNNNNNNNNNNNNNNNNNNNNNNNNNNNNNNNNNNNNNNNNNNNNNNNNNNNNNNNNNNNNNNNNNNNNNNNNNNNNNNNNNNNNNNNNNNNNNNNNNNNNNNNNNNNNNNNNNNNNNNNNNNNNNNNNNNNNNNNNNNNNNNNNNNNNNNNNNNNNNNNNNNNNNNNNNNNNNNNNNNNNNNNNNNNNNNNNNNNNNNNNNNNNNNNNNNNNNNNNNNNNNNNNNNNNNNNNNNNNNNNNNNNNNNNNNNNNNNNNNNNNNNNNNNNNNNNNNNNNNNNNNNNNNNNNNNNNNNNNNNNNNNNNNNNNNNNNNNNNNNNNNNNNNNNNNNNNNNNNNNNNNNNCCCCCUCCCCCUCCCCCCCCCCCCCCGAAGAUUCGGGGAUUGUACAAGCGGAGUAAAUGAUCGAUGGUGAACAACCAGUAGUCGAUCUUGUUCACAAAGUAUCGGAGGAGGAUUACGAUCCUCCAUAGUGAUGGGUGAAUCUGACCGAGGCAUACAUCAUACCUUCUGUAGAAGUCGAGGAUAAUCGGGUCCACCGAGCCCAGCGUGAAGGGAUAAGUAUAGACACUUAAAUAUCCCUUCACAUGUGUAGUAAUGUCAUCAUCAGGCUCGGGAACUACUAUGUCCUUAUCCACCCAGCCACAUUCCUUUCGAACCACGGGAAUGACGACCUCGGUGAUAGAGCAGAUGUACAUGGACACCGCCUUGCCUCGGCCUUGCACCUAUGGCGGCUUUUCGACUUUAAAGUCAUCCAUGACCGAAACCCCCCCGGGGAUGAACAUUUUCAAGGGGGCACAACUGUCUGUUCAUCGGUAGCCGCGCCGGGAGCGAACCUCUCGAGGACAACCACAUCAGGGGCGGUCUCCUCGACCUCGGUGGUCGGAUGUGAGGAAGAAGAAGCACCUUUUUGAGGAAUAGUCUUGGAAGUAUUCGCCAUUGUUAUCUGGAAAAAAGGUUUGAAAGUGUGAAGGACGAUUAGGAGAUGAAAGGUAAAAACUUACUAAGAAAAUCAACCACGCUGGCUUGGGUAGAGGAUAAAGAAAAGAUUGUAAUUUGUUCAAAAAUCUUGAAAAACAAAGGUAAGAAUAUUGGAGUAUGAAGAAAGGUGGUGGUAUCUUGAAGAAUCGAAGGUAAAAGCUUGGUCAAGAGUAAAAAAUGAAUGAAGGAGGGAGUAUUUAUAUACGCUUUGCGCCGUUUCGCAUUCAGGGACGGCCUGCCGAUGGAUGACACGCGUUCGAAGUCAUUAUGAUGCGACUGACAGGACGUUUCUGUUUCUUUGUUGUUUCUGUCACAGCGUGUUGAAGAAGGAAUAGAAGAGCUCGUAUCGUUCCUCGAUGUUUCCGUAAACUUACUCUCCGAGAAAGGGGACUAUUUGUAUACGGGUAAAAUCGGGCCCAUGGGUUGCCCCGGUUUUCAAUAAGGUAAAUUGAGCGAGAGACGUGAUGAUAAGGAACCAGAAUCGAGGCAAGGGUCUCAUCGAGCUAGGGUCCGGGGGCACAACGCCCGCCCUCGGGAAUGUCGGGGCCAUGACCCCGGGAUCAAUCCAAAUCCCAAAAGACUUCAGAGAGCAUUAUCGGGCAACCGAGCACGAUUAACAGAAGGUCGUGAUAUCCGUGACCAGCCGGGUAUCACGGCGUGGAUCUCGGCACGUACCGGCGAAAAUCCGGUGAUUAGUUAAACGGAAGAUUUUUACCUUUUAUGGAAUUGUACCUAGGGUAGGACUCCCCUACUAUAUAAAGGGAGGGGGAGGGUCUGAUUAUUCAUUAAUAAUAUUGUAACACGCAUAUCAAUGCAAUAUACUAUUAUUUUCUCUGUUAUUCAAAGUUCUUAUUCUUGUUCAUCAGUGCUUGGUCAUUGUGAGUCCGGGAUCGAGGACGGAUAUUUCAUUAAGGCAGUUGUUAAGUCCGGAAUCACCCUCCUCAAGUGGUUAGAUAAUUUAUUACUUUCUUUAUCCGUUUAAUCUAACGCAAUUUAUUAUUUGUAUCGAAUUAAUCCACGUUUUCUUAAAACCACAAAUAAAUUUAAUUGUUAUCUGUUUUUUAGGGUAAACGAUUUUUAAAGAGAUAUCAAAGAAAUCUAUGUUUUAACUUUUAACUGCAAGAAAAAAAACAUUUUCCAGAAAUAAAAAAUAAAAAUACCAAAAAUCACUUUAUAAUAAGCAAAUGGCAAUUCUUUCCUUCGUCUUUUUCUUGAUAUUUGUCCAAUUAUUUAAUGUCAUCCAAUUUUUUCACAAGAAUCCUGCCAUAUAAAGUUUCUAAACAAUGGAUAAGAUUUGGUUAGUCAUUCUUUUUCCUAGAAUAGAUAUGCGAUGCUCAAACUUUUGAGUGUAAAUGCAUGCAUAUCCUUCCCUAAUUAAUGAAUGGUCUUUAAUUAGCUUGACCAUAUGGAUCAAGUCAAACUCGAAAUAUUCAUAAUUUCCCGUGAAUUAUGUUGGUUUUCACAAAUUUCCUCAAAAUCAGAAAAACCUCAAUUAAUAAAAGAUACGACCAAAAGAAAAAGUCUCUUAUAGUUUUGAACGGAAAUUAAUGGGAGAUCGAUCCUAUUUUUUUGGAACAUUAAUAGAAAAGAGAUUAAAAUUGUGUCCACAAAUUAUGCGAAAUAAAGUAACUGUAAAAAAAUGAAAUCGCACACUAUAAAAAGGCAUGAAUUUGGAGGAGAAUGACAUAAUUCCAGCAAAUAAACUUAACUGGAGAGUCCGAGGCAAAGACCUAUCCUUUGCUCCUAAGCUCUUUGUCUCUCCUCUCCCAUAUGUAGUCUAUGCUGGUAUCUAUUUAAAAAAAAUACAUAUCCGUAUAAAAAAGAACAAAAAUAGAGCAAAGACUCAAUCUACGUAUAUAAACCAGUUUUAUCGGAGGGUAUUAAAAAAAUAAAAUAAAAUAAAAAAUGUCGACAGCUCAGGUAAACAACUCCAAGAUCACAGUCUAUGUGGUAUCAUGUUGGAUCUUUGCUGCCUUUGGAGGGCUUAUGUUCGGUUACGAUAUUGGUAUUUCAGGUUUGUAUACUUUUCUUUUCUUAUUCAAUUACCUUUUACGGCUUUCUGUUGAUAAAAUAAUAACAUCAUUUUAUCAAAAUAUUUCAGAUUUGAUUUGUCAUAAUCUUUUCUUUGUUUGGUGAUUAAAUCAGGAGGAGUAUCUGGUAUGGAUGAUUUCUUGAUAAAAUUCUUCCCAAAUGUAUAUGAAAGAAAGCUACAUGCAAAGGAGAACAAUUACUGUAAAUAUGACGAUCAACUUCUCCAGCUAUUCACCUCAUCCUUGUACCUAUCAGCUUUGGUUUCUAGCUUUUUCGCUUCAAAAGCCUGUCAAUUGUUAGGUCGUAGACCCACCAUUUUCAUGGCCUCUGUUUUUUUCAUUGCCGGCGCCGUCAUUAGUGCUGCCUCUGAACACAGAUGGAUGCUCAUUGUUGGUCGUAUUUUGUUUGGCGUUGGUGUUGGCUUCGGAAAUGAGGUACCACAAUUACAAAUAACUUUCUUCUAUUGAAAUUGUAAAAGGACAAAAAACUAAUGGUUAUUAUUUUGGUUGUCGCAGACUGUUCCUUUAUUUUUAACAGAAGUAGCACCAAUCCAACUUAGAGGAGCUGUGAAUAUUCUCUUCCAACUGUUCGUAACAAUAGGAAUAUUCAUCGCGAAUCUGGUUAAUUAUGCAACAUCAACUAUGCAUCCAAAUGGUUGGAGGGUGUCACUAGGUCUUGCUGCUGUUCCAGCGUUGCUUCUUCUCAUUGGUUGCUUUGUCAUAACUGAUACCCCAGCAAGUCUGAUCGAACGUGGCAAAGAGGAUCAAGGAAAAGCAGCACUAAAGAAAAUCAGGGGAGUUGAAGAUGUUGAAGUUGAGUACAAAGAAAUAGUGGCUGCUUGUGAACAAGCCAAGCAAGUGAAACAUCCAUUCAGGAACCUCGUAAAAGCUGCAAGUGUUCCACCACUUGUGAUUGCCAUAUUUUUGCAGAUAUUCCAGCAAUUCACUGGAAUUAAUGCCAUUAUGUUCUAUGCUCCUGUUCUGUUCCAGACCAUGGGUUUCAAAUCCGACGGUGCACUUUUGUCCGCUGUCAUAACUGGGCUUGUUAAUGUUGGCGCUACCUUUGUUUCCAUCUAUGCUGUUGACAAGCUUGGAAGGAGAAAAUUGCUCCUUCAAGCUUGUUGCCAAAUGUUAAUUUCUCAGGUAUGAACAUGACCAAAAGGCUCUUAGAAAAUAUAGAACUAAAAUAGACAUACUAACAUAACUAAAACAUAAUCUCAAUUAAUUGGUAUCGAUAUAAUGCGUGCCUUAAGUGAGAACAUCCCAGCAAUAUAUUCCGUAUUGCAGGAUCCAUCAUAAAUUGACUUAAUUUUACAGCGCAUCACAACUUACAACAUAAGGGGAGCAACUGUUAAGUUGUCUUCUGUAACCUAUCGGUCAGGGGUUCUAGUCGUGGAAUCAGUCACUGAUAGUUGCAUCAGGGUAGGCUGCCUAUAUCACACCCCUUGGGGUGCGGCCCUGAUCCAUAGAUUUUAUGUGAACGCGAGAUACUUCGUGCACCGGAAUGCCCUUAGUCAACUUAUCACAAUCCUCCCAGUUUAUUCGCGUUUGAAACCGAUAAUGUAAGUUAACAGAGGCGGAGUUUCGGAUGAUUUCUAAUGAAGUAUUUUGGUUAAAUUUGCAGUUGGCAAUUGGAGGUAUUUUAUCAGUCAAUUUGAAGGAGACAGGAACAUUGGACAGGACAUUGGCAGCAAUAGUGGUGGUUCUUGUGUGCACAUAUGUCAUGUCAUUUGCCUGGUCAUGGGGACCUUUGGGCUGGUUGAUUCCAAGUGAGACAUUCCCAAUGGAAACAAGAACAGCUGGUUUCGCUUUUGCAGUUAGCACAAACAUGCUCUUCACCUCCUUAAUUGCUCAGGCAUUCUUGACCAUGCUCUGCAAAAUGCAGGCUUACAUUUUCUUCUUCUUCUCAGCCUGGAUUGUUGUGAUGGGAUUGUUCGUCAUAUUCCUUUUGCCAGAAACCAAAGGAGUCCCUAUUGAUUCUAUGGUGGAAGAUGUAUGGAAGAAGCAUCCUGUUUGGAAGAAACUCUUCAAGAAUGAAUGAUCAUUCAAAGGAUUGGCUUAAUAUCCCUCCUAUGUUUAAAUUGGUUUAUAGUCGUCUUUGAUUCAGUGAUAUAGUGCUAAACUUAUGGCAUUUAUUGCCUACAACCUAUCCUCCUAUCCUUUGUAAAUUUGUUUUCAAUUAUCCAUGUAUCGAGGUUUAGUGCUCCAAUCAAAGCAAUUGGAUGAAUUGUUGUGGUUCGUCCAGUGAGCUUUGAAAGAGUACUAGCUUCUAUCAUCUUUUCCUUUUAAUGAAUUCCAUGUCUUCAUUGUUUUGUUGUAAAAAUAUGAAAAUUUAUGAAAUCGAAAAAGAACAAUUCCUCUACUUCGACAUCCAGUUGAUUGUUUCGUUAUGUGAGCUGUAUGUCAUUGUUCGUUGCAAAUUAAAAGAUUGACAUCCAUGUUGUUGGUUUAAAAGUGAACCACAAGCCAUUCCUUAGAUGGUUUGCGGUUGUAAAUAAAGGAAAAGAAUAUAUAAGUAGUAGCUAAUUAACUGGAGUUGAUUAGAGAAUUAAAAUGAGUUAUAAUGAAGUUUCAACCAUGGGAAAGAGGAAGAAGAAGAUAUUUGAAGAUAAAUCUCAUUAUUAGGUAUGCAAAUAUUUAUCUUGAGAAUCCGGUGAUGCUUACAUUGGAACUAUUAUAAACAAACAUAACAUUUUAAUCCAAGGAUUGGAUGAGGGCAAAUUACUAAUUCCAGUUAAUAUGUUUGAUUCUUUUAAUUGUAUAUAAAUUAAAGAGAAUAUUUUUAAGACUUAUAUCCUAUCAAUUUUUUUUACGCAGAUCUUUAGGUGGAUAAAUAGUCUUAAUUCUCUCUCUUCUCUCUCCUCCAUGUGCAUGUUAGUGGUGAGUGCUAACAUACGCCAUCGCCGAAAUGCCUAGAAGGGGGAAUUGGAGGACAGCGAUCAAGGAGGCAAUAACGGAAUUGACGGAAUGAAUUACUGAGGACGGGAAUCUAGGGUUGGGAUCUGGAAAAGUGCGAUCAAUUACGAAAAUUCUGAGCAAAACACCAGGACCGGAGAAGACUAUCGGAGAAAUCAACACGCCAACAAAUCGGACGGUACUACAGAAAAAGAAUGUAAACGUAACACUGGAAGUGCUGCAACAGAUGGCAAGGACUAUACCUAGGUUGGAGGGGAAAAACCUGCAAACUACUGUUCGAUUGGAGAAUUUAACUUCUCCAAAUACUGGAACACAGCAGGGCAGGGCAAAUGAUAUGAUUCAAGGAAGUGAAGUGAUUGAAGCAAAAACUAAUGAAAAGGAGCCUAUCAUGGCGAAACAACAAAUAGAGAAGGCAAACAUUGGGAAGGAGAAUAAGAACUGGGCAAACCUGUUUGAAGGGAAUAGAAUGGCUGCUAAAGGUAUGAAUCUCACUUUUAUUGCUCCUCAAAUUCGCAAUGGUGUCAAAAUUGUGCAAUUGAAAAAGGAAGAGGUGGAUAAGGAGACAGAGAAAUGGCGUAAUGCUGUAAUAAUGUAUGUAAUUGGGAAAACACCUACAAUUGGGUUGUCGAACAAUUCAUUGCAUUACAGUGAAACUUCACAGCCAAACCUAAAGUUUACGUGCACAAUGAAGGCUACUUCAUUGUCAAGUUCACAUGCAAGGAAGACCAGAAUGAGGUCCUGUUCUCAGGGCCAUACACAAUCAAUAACAAACCUAUAAUAACCAAAGUUUAGACUCCGAAUUUCAAUUUUGAUGAGGAGGUAUUAAAAAUCAUACCCUUAUGGAUUAAACUUCCAAAUUUACCACUCAAUUGUUGGAGUAUGAACUCAUUAAGCAGAAUAGGGAGUAGACUAAGGAACCCUUUAUAUGAUGAUGAUUGUACAACAAAGGUCGAAAAGGUCUCAUAUACAAGGAUGCUUAUUGAGAUGGAUGUCACUCAACCAUUGCCAACAAAGGUGACUGUUGAAGAUCCUAAUGGAGAGAUAUUUGAACAGGAGAUAACAUACGAUUGGAGACCAUUGUAUUGUCCUACAUGCUUGCAAGUAGGGCAUUGCUGCCAACAAAAAGUCCAAACCACAAGGAAUCGGGAACAACAGCCACAAACUAUGAAGAAGCUUACGAAGCAGGUAUGUGUGAAAGCAGGGCAAAGCAAAACUGUAACACAGGUGCAAACUAAAAAUGACAAGGAAGUACCAGACAAUAAGGGGAAAGCCAAAGAAGGUGAGGAAGGUUGGACAGAAGUGCGUGGAAGAUCAGCUGUGAAGACAUUUAAAACAGGCGAACUAGAGAGUACAGAACAGCUGGUUAGCAUUAAUGGUUUCAAUUCACUUAGUGAAGAAGCAAAUCAACAGAGAAUGGAACCACAACAUGCACAGUAUAAAGAGGAGGAGGAAGUAGCAUAGGGGUGGAGGACAUGACUCAUUUUCCUUUUCUACCAAGAUGAAGAUAGUUACUUGGAAUGUUCAAGGGGUGAAUAAGUUGUAUAAACAAAAGGAGACAAAUGAGUUUAUUUGAGAGAAUAACAUUAGUAUUAUAGCAAUAAUAGAGCAUAGAACUCAAGAGAGUAAAGUUGCAAGUUUAUUUAAUAAAAUUGCACCUGGAUGGGACUGGAUCACUAAUGAAUCUCGUACACAAAGAGGGAGAAUAUGGAUGCUAUGGAACCCUAACCUUACAGUGAUAACUGAACUGAAUAUGCAUCCUCAAUUCAUACAUGUUCAAGUGAAAGGGAUAGCUGUGAACAUUGAAUAUCAAUUCACUGCAGUGUAUGACUUACAUAGUAUAAAGGACAGGCUGGUCUUGUGGCAACAACUGGAGCAAAUAGAGUCAUGGAAGCAAGGACCAUGAUUAAUAAUUAGGGACUCCAAUGCCAUAUUGAAUGUAGAAGACAGAGUACAUGGUAAAAAAGUGUAGGAUGCAGAAACAAGAGAUUUCAGAAAGUUUAUGGUAGAAGCUGAGAUGACAAAACUACAAACAAUUGGAAGAUCAUACACAUGGAGCAAUAAUCACACAUAUAGUAAGAUUGAUAGAUCCAUAGUCAACUCAAACUGGAUAACUACAAUGCCACUUCUAUCAGUGCAAGUUAUGGAUCCUAUCUUCUCAUAUCACUCUCCACUCUACAUUAAAUUGGGUAGGCCAAAAAAUAGAUGCAGGAAAGCAUUUAGAUUCAUGAACUGUAUAGCAGAACACCUUAAUUUCACCAAGGUAGUAGAAAACAGCUGGAGGCAAACUAAUAAUGCACACUAUAUGAAGGACAUCUGGGAGAAGCUAAAGCAUGUUAAGAAUGCCAUCAAAGAACUGAAUGUCAAAGAGUUUAAUGGGGUCACAAAAAGAAUCAAAGACAUCAGAGACAAGCUUAAAAAUGUACAGGAAGACGUGAGAACUCCAAACCACUCACAAGACUUAUUUAAGCAGAAAAGGAGCUGAGAAUACAACUUGAGAAAUGGUAUUUGAUAGAAGAAAGCAUAUACAAACAGAAAUUCAGGGUGCAAUGGCUAAAGUUAGGAGACUCCAAUUCAGCAUACUUCUUUGCAAGCAUGAAGAAUAGGAGAUCACAAAAUCAUAUCAAGGCUUUAGUGUCUACUGAAGACAGAAUUUUGCAAACAGAGAAGGGCAUAGAUGAGGAAAUACUCAAAUUCUACAAGUAGUUACUAGGAAAUGUAAAUACAACACUGCCAGUAAUACAGCCUAAUAUAAUGAACACAUGUUAUAUACUUAAUAAAAGGCAGCAACAAGCACUCAUUAGACCUUUUGACAAAGAAGAAGUAUAUAAGACACUACAGGGGAUAGAUGAAGCUAAAGCACCAGGGAUAGAUGGUUUCAACUCAUGCUUCUUCAAAAAAAGCCUGGACAACAGUUGGAGAGGAGGUGACCAAUACAGUGCUGAAGUUCUUUGAAACUCAAGACAUGUACAUGCCAAUAAACUGUACUGCUAUUACACUAGUUCCAAAAGUAAAGAACCCAUCUUAUGUGAAGGAAUUCAGACCAAUUUCCCGCUGCACUACAAUAUACAAAAUCAUAUAAAAAAUGCUAACCAACAGACUACAAGGGGUUAUGGAUGACAUGAUUGAUAAAGGACAUGCUGCUUUUGUACCUGGCAGGGUGAUCAAUGAUAAUAUUAUACUUAGCCAUGAGCUAAUAAAGUGGUAUGGGAGAAAAGAAACAUCACCUAGAUGCAUGAUCAAAAUUGACAUGCCAAAAGCCUAUGACUCACUAGAGUGGGUGUUCCUGGAGCAGGUGCUUAUUGGGUUGAAUUUCCUUGAGACAUUUGUGAAAUGGAUUAUGACCUGUGUACAAACAGUAUCCUACUCUAUUGUAGUUAAUGGUAAGGCAACUACUCCAUUUGCUGUAAAGAGAGGGAUGAGGCAAGGGGACCCCCUAUCUUCAUAUCUUUUUGUAAUAGAAAUGGAAUACCUUACCAGGCUGCUGAAGACUCUGAAGAGUAUGCAAAGCUAAACCUAGUGCAGUUGGGAUUUGCAGAUGACCUGCUCCUAUUCUGCAGGGGAGAUGUGAUAUCUGCAAAGCUACUGUAUGUUUGUUUUGACAGUUUUUCUAGGGCUUCUAGUUAGUAGCUAACCAGGAGAAAAGUUUUAUCUAUUUUGGAGGAGUUGCUCCUAACAUACAGCAUGGAAUCUUGCAAACUUUGGGCUUCCAAACUAGCACAUUGCCCUUUAGAUACUUAGGUGUACCUCUGAGCUCUAAGAGGCUAUCAGUUGGGCAAUGUCAACCACUAUUAGACAAGAUGACAGGAAGGAUCACUACCUGAAAAGUAAAACUAAUGUCUUAUGCAAGUAGGUUGCAUAUGAUUAAGAGUGUACUUACAACUAUACAAAAUUUCUGGUCUCAAAUAUUCAUAUUGCCUAAAAAGAUCAUUCAGGUGAUUGAAGCAAUUUGCAGAAGCUACCUCUGGACAGGAGCUGCAGAAUGUUCCAAAAAAGCUCUCAUUGCCUAAAAAAAGUUAUGCUUGCCUAAGGUUGUUGGUGGAUUGAACAUAACAAACAUUGGCUUAUGAAACAAAGCAGCUAUACUAAAGCACCACUGGAGUCUUGGGCAAAAAAGAUAGACUGUGGAUCAAAUGGGUCCACACAUAUUAUAUAAAGGGGAAUAUGAUGAAUGAAGUAAAACCAAAGCAGGCAUCCUGGGUUAUGCAAAAGAUCUUCAAUACAGGAAAAUAUUGAAGAGAUUGGGCUAACAGUAGAUGAGACUAUGAGCAGGGACAAGUUCUCCAUAAGGCAAAUGUAUAACAACAUACGAGGUGAUUAUUCCAGAGUUCAUUGGAGGAGGCUGAUAUGUAAUAAUCAAAGCAGUCCAAGGUGGUCCUUCAUUUUAUAUAUGGUUGUACAGAAUAGGCUAUAUACCAGAGAUAGGCUCAUCAAAUGGGGGAUGCAGAGUAGCCCGAUAUGUAUUUAAUGCGAGCAAGAACAGGAAACCACGCAACACUUAUUUUUCGAAUGCAACAUAGCAGUUGGAAUCUGGCAAAAACUACUCACCUGGCAAGGUGUCAGCAGAGCUGCAAUGGGAUGGUCUGAGGAGAUAACAUGGGCAAUAAAGAAUGCACGAGGGAAAUGUGGGAAAACUGAAAUAUAUAGAAUGACUUUAGCUGGGAGCAUUUACUAUAUCUGGCAGGAAAGGAACCUAAAACUAUUCCAGAACAAACGUAAAUCAGAGGAUGUGAUUGUAAAGAUGAUUAUACAAGAUAUACAUUGCAGAGGAAGCAAAGUACCAAGACUAGCAAAGCAGAUGGCAAGCCUAAACUUCUAUCCAUGAAGCAAUAAGGAGAAGGUCUAACCAGGUGCAAUAAGAUAAAUGAUACUCAGUAGUAAAGAUUUCUGAAGGUCAGAGUUAGUAGAAGAGACUAGAGAUGCAUGCUAAAGUUGGGACUGCAUGUCCAACUUUAGAAGGAUGACAUACUUGUACAUAGUAUUCAGAUAAAUAGAAAACUUAUUUACCAAAAAAAAGAAUUAUAUCCUAUCAUUGUACUUAAGAUGAAAUAAGAAAAGCCGAUAAGAUAAAAUUAUUAGGAACUUCUACAUUGUAUGUUCUUUUUAAGAAUUACUAUUAACAUAGAUUACACAACUUCUGGUAUACAGUGGGCGAAGCUAGGAUUUUCCUCAAGGAGAUUCAAACUUGAAGUAAAUAAAUAAAAAUUUGAUAAAGGGUGUUCAAUAUAUGUUAUGUACAUCUAAAACGUAAUAUUUUACUUAUAUAUACAGUGUAAUUUUUCGAUAAAGGGCGGUCAAUUGACCACCCUAACCAUAGUUGGCUUCGCCCCUGCUGGUAUAUUAAAAAGUAGUGCUACUAGUUUAAAUGGAGUAACAUUUAUAGCAUGUUUAAAUAUUUCCGAUCCAGAAUGUAAAUUGAGUGUAUGGAUAGUAACUGUAAUAAAGAAUUUCAACCUGGAUAGUUAUAAGGGUCACUUUUCCAUUUUUAUACUCCACUUAACAAAAUCUAUAGUUUACCUGAGAUAUUACACCCGAGCAUUAACCAAGAUCCAAACGACACAUGUCAAAAGAAAACUAAAGGCUGAGGACUUCACUGACUUGGUUAGAAUGCGUAUCAAAAUCACACCUUCUAAUUGGUCUGUAUCUGAAUAACCCUAUCCAAUAUCCUUAUCUCCACCACAUAUAUCCGAAUAACAAAAAAUGAACUCUCUUCUCUCAUUCUCAUUCUGCACAAAUACAUCUCCAUUUCCCUAACUUUCCUAAGCCAAUAAUUCUUCAAUGGCCAUGGCAACUCAAGCUUCUCUCUUCACUCCAGCUCUCUCUGCCCCAAAAUCCUCUUCCCCAUGGAAACAAUCCCUCGCUUCCUUCUCUCCUAAGCAACUCAAAUCCACUGUUUCCGCUCCCCGUCCCAUUAGAGCCAUGGCCGAAGAAGCCGCCGCCGCCGCCACAAAAGAAGCAGAGGCUCCAGUGGGCUUCACCCCACCACAAUUGGACCCAAAUACACCUUCCCCGAUCUUCGGUGGCAGCACCGGUGGGCUUCUUCGCAAGGCCCAAGUUGAGGAAUUCUACGUAAUCACUUGGGAAUCACCUAAAGAGCAGAUCUUUGAAAUGCCAACUGGUGGUGCUGCUAUUAUGAGGGAAGGUGCUAAUUUGUUGAAAUUGGCGAGGAAAGAGCAGUGUUUAGCAC
RNAcentral lists this long non-coding RNA (14141 nucleotides) under Nicotiana tabacum (common tobacco). RNAcentral describes it as "long non-coding RNA (NTAB_LNC010744)". Lineage: Eukaryota; Viridiplantae; Streptophyta; Magnoliopsida; Solanales; Solanaceae. The record is from RNAcentral.